GAUGAACGCUAGCUACAGGCUUAACACAUGCAAGUCGAGGGGAAACGGCAUUAAGUGCUUGCACUUUUUGGACGUCGACCGGCGCACGGGUGAGUAACGCGUAUCCAACCUUCCCAUGACUAAGGGAUAACCUGCCGAAAGGCAGACUAAUACCUUAUGGUCUUCACUGACGGCAUCAGAUGUGAAGUAAAGAUUUAUCGGUUAUGGAUGGGGAUGCGUCUGAUUAGCUUGUUGGCGGGGUAACGGCCCACCAAGGCAACGAUCAGUAGGGGUUCUGAGAGGAAGGUCCCCCACAUUGGAACUGAGACACGGUCCACACUCCUACGGGAGGCAGCAGUGAGGAAUAUUGUUCAAUGGGCGAGAGCCUGAACCAGCCAAGUAGCGUGCAGGAUGACGGCCCUAUGGGUUGUAAACUGCUUUUGUAUGGGGAUAAAGUCAAUCACGUGUGAUUGUUUGCAGGUACCAGACGAAUAAGGACCGGCUAAUUCCGUG
This 492-nucleotide ribosomal RNA is filed under the name uncultured bacterium. RNAcentral's name for it is "partial 16S ribosomal RNA". It matches the Rfam family "Bacterial small subunit ribosomal RNA", at positions 28 to 507 of the family's 1533-position model. The record is from RNAcentral.